GACGAACGCUGGCGGCGUGCUUAACACAUGCAAGUCGAACGAUGAAGGAGAGCUUGCUCUCCGGAUUAGUGGCGAACGGGUGAGUAACACGUGACUAACCUGCCCCUUUCUCUGGGAUAACGCUCCGAAAGGAGUGCUAAUACCGGAUACGAACUCUGAACACAUGUUCGGAGUCGGAAAGAUUUUCGGAAAGGGAUGGAGUCGCGGCCUAUCAGCUUGUUGGUGAGGUAACGGCUCACCAAGGCGACGACGGGUAGCCGGCCUGAGAGGGCGACCGGCCACACUGGGACUGAGACACGGCCCAGACUCCUACGGGAGGCAGCAGUGGGGAAUAUUGCACAAUGGGCGAAAGCCUGAUGCAGCGACGCCGCGUGAGGGAUGAAGGUCUUCGGAUUGUAAACCUCUUUCAGUAGGGACGAAGCGAAAGUGACGGUACCUAAAGAAGAAGCACCGGCUAACUACGUGCCAGCCGCCGCCGUAA
Molecule: ribosomal RNA, 481 nt
Filed under: uncultured bacterium
Lineage: Bacteria
Description: partial 16S ribosomal RNA
Rfam family: Bacterial small subunit ribosomal RNA
Source: RNAcentral